GAUGAACGCUGGCGGCGUGCCUAAUACAUGCAAGUCGAACGCACUGAUUUAUCAGUGAGUGGCGAACGGGUGAGUAAUACAUAAGUAACCUGCCCUUAUGAGGGGGAUAACUAUUAGAAAUGAUAGCUAACACCGCAUAGGUGAUUGAAUCGCAUGCUUUAAUUAUUAAAUAUCCUACGGGAUAGCAAAAGAAUGGACUUAUGGCGCAUUAGCUAGUUGGUGAGGUAACGGCUCACCAAGGCGACGAUGCGUCGCCGGCCUGAGAGGGUGAACGGCCACUCUGGGACUGAGACACGGCCCAGACUCCUACGGGAGGCAGCAGUAGGGAAUUUUCGGCAAUGGGGGAAACCCUGACCGAGCAACGCCGCGUGAAGGAAGAAGUAUUUCGGUAUGUAAACUUCUGUUAUGAAGGAAGAAUGUUAUGUGUAGGGAAUGACACAUAAGUGACGGUACUUCAUGAGAAAGCCACGGCUAACUACGUGCCAGCAGCCGCGGUAACAC
RNAcentral lists this ribosomal RNA (501 nucleotides) under uncultured bacterium. Its description in RNAcentral is "bacterial SSU rRNA". It matches the Rfam family "Bacterial small subunit ribosomal RNA", at positions 28 to 526 of the family's 1533-position model. The record is from RNAcentral.